UAUUCUGAAAGCUCUAUAUAUUUACAAAAAUAUAUACAAGUUCAAACAUUGUUUGGAACAACUGAAACAGACAUUAAUUUGAGAUUGUAACUAUUAUAAAAAUUUAUUCUAAAAAAGUUUUCUUUUUUAUAGCUUUAUUAUACCGGUAUAUGACUGUGGGCUGACAAUAGUUUUUCUGUUUUAUUUUUGGAAUGCUUGUCAUUUAUCUACAGUCACAUAGAUAUAAGUAUUUUUAUGUACUAUAGUACCAUCUUAUGGUCACAACAAAAGCAUAACAUGUAACAAA
Biomphalaria pfeifferi is the source of this 286-nucleotide non-coding RNA. Lineage: Eukaryota; Metazoa; Mollusca; Gastropoda; Planorbidae. The record is from the annotation of a GenBank genome assembly.